AUGCUGGUUCCGGCGCCUUAUGAGGUGCCGGAGAAGAAGGCCAAGAAGAAGGCCGCGGGGACCAGGAAGGGUUUCCGGCGCAAGGUUAUAUCGGACUCAUCGUCCGAAAACACCGAGGCGCACUCCUCCCACGAAAACGAGGAGGAGGAAGAGGAAAUUUAUCCCCCCCCCCCGGCCGGGGAGGACAGGAAAAGGAAGGCCGCCCCAUCAGGGGAGGCCGAAGGGUCCAAGAAGGGAAGGACCCUCCUCCCGGACUGCUCCACGACGGUCGCUUUCAGCGACGAGGGGUGGUUACCCAAGGACAAGCCCCUGGCGAAGUCGUGA
Molecule: ribosomal RNA, 324 nt
Filed under: Triticum aestivum (bread wheat)
Lineage: Eukaryota; Viridiplantae; Streptophyta; Magnoliopsida; Poales; Poaceae
Description: partial small subunit ribosomal RNA
Source: RNAcentral